Molecule: ribosomal RNA, 506 nt
Filed under: uncultured bacterium
Lineage: Bacteria
Description: partial 16S ribosomal RNA
Rfam family: Bacterial small subunit ribosomal RNA
Source: RNAcentral
AUUGAACGCUGGCGGCAGGCCUAACACAUGCAAGUCGGACGGUAGCACAGGGGAGCUUGCUCCUCGGGUGACGAGUGGCGGACGGGUGAGUAAUGUCUGGGGAUCUGCCCGAUAGAGGGGGAUAACCACUGGAAACGGUGGCUAAUACCGCAUAACGUCGCAAGACCAAAGAGGGGGACCUUCGGGCCUCUCACUAUCGGAUGAACCCAGAUGGGAUUAACUAGUAGGCGGGGUAACGGCCCACCUAGGCGACGAUCCCUAGCUGGUCUGAGAGGAAGACCAGCCACACUGGAACUGAGACACGGUCCAGACUCCUACGGGAGGCAGCAGUGGGGAAUAUUGCACAAUGGGCGCAAGCCUGAUGCAGCCAUGCCGCGUGUAUGAAGAAGGCCUUCGGGUUGUAAAGUACUUUCAGCGGGGAGGAAGGCGAUGUGGUUAAUAACCGCGUCGAUUGACGUUACCCGCAGAAGAAGCACCGGCUAACUCCGUGCCAGCCGCCGCCGUAA